Non-coding RNA from Cytidiella melzeri, 105 nucleotides. Lineage: Eukaryota; Fungi; Basidiomycota; Agaricomycetes; Polyporales; Irpicaceae. The record is from the annotation of a GenBank genome assembly.
GCCCGCCUAGCUCAAUCGGAUAGAGCGUCAGACUCUUAGCAUGAGUGCGGGUGACCACAGAUUCCUGCGAUCUGAAGGCUGCGAGUUCGACCCUCGCGGUGGGCU